AACGAGGCCGACCUGCGGCUGAGUUACCUGCGGAAGGAUCAUUACCGAGUUUACAACUCCCAAACCCCUGUGAACAUACCUAUACGUUGCCUCGGCGGAUCAGCCCGCGCCCUGUAAAAAGGGACGGCCCGCCCGAGGACCCUAAACUCUGUUUUUAGUGGAACUUCUGAGUAAAACAAACAAAUAAAUCAAAACUUUUAGCAACGGAUCU
This 211-nucleotide unclassified non-coding RNA is filed under the name soil metagenome. Its description in RNAcentral is "partial contains 5.8S ribosomal RNA, internal transcribed spacer 2, and large subunit ribosomal RNA". The record is from RNAcentral.